CCCUUGGGCCCGCCCCUGUGACGCUCCCCUCCGUCCGGGAUUGGCUGAGCAGUGGGGGCGGGGCUAAGACGGCUCCUAGUCUAGCAGCGAAGCUCUGCUGUCGGGAGCCGGACCCGUGUGGAUAGGUUGGAUAAUCAACAACAAUCUCGAUCUUUGCAGCUGGGAGCGAAUACACGAAGGAAACCUGGGACAAAUUAAUUGCUCCUGGAGUUAAAACAGCCUAGGGCUGGGCUCUGCUGCUCCCUGGUGGUGUGCUGUAGUUACUGCACCGUGGGCCAGCUGCCCCUGUCUCUCUUCAGGGCAUAAUCGCCACUGUUUAUGCACAAGGGUUUAAAUAGGUGACAAAACUACUUCCGCCUGGGCACGCAGGUGUGGGUGGGUAAUCACUUAUAAUUGACUAAGCAGUCAUUGUUGGUGUCCUCUUGAGUUCUUGUAGUAAGAGGGAAUUACUAUGUCCAGGGCUAUUGUUUUCAUUUUCCUAUUGCUGGGACUGUUAAAAAAGGGCGUGGCGAUAGGGGGGAGGGCUGUUUUGUGGCAACUUGAAAUGGCAUAUGGUAAUUACAGUCAACAUCAUAAGAGCUAACAAUAACUGAGCAGUUGAUUCGUGGUAUGUAUUUGUGCAAGCACUUUUAAUAUGUUAAUGAAUUGUCACAAGAUAGGUGGUCAAAGCAACCCCAUUUCAGAGAUGAGAAAACUGAGUUACCGAGGAGGAUAAGGUUCUCUAGAAUCUUCAACAGCACAAUGCUUUCCUACAAUCAAACAGGAAAUGCCAUCCUGGUCACACAACUGCCCCCCCCUUCCAAACACCGCCUUGUUUAAAACCCUGGGUAUUUUCUUAAUUUUAUUCUCAGUUCAGACACCUCCUUAUUUAAGGUCCUGCUCCCUCAGCCACUCUAGCCUGGGUCAGACAGGGUUUAUCAGUAUUGUUCUUGCGGUGUGUGUGCAGACCUCUGUCCUGAGCUGUGUCUCCCCUAGGCUCACAGCAGUGCGUGUUGGUCUUUUGAACGAGGUACCGGCGAAUCUGACUGCAGGUAAUUGUGGGAAUUAUUGUGUUAACCUUGUAUCGGGCCCUGUCCAUAUUGUGUGCUUUCUCCAGUAACCAAAUGUGGAUGCUAUUUUUGUAUCCCUUUCGUCCUCCAGGGACCCGAGGCCUAGAGAGGUUGGUCAGCUUGGCCAAGGACACAUUGACCUCAGCGCACAGCACCUGGCCGUGAAGAUGCUCUUCCCUCCUUUGCUUCUAGAGUCAUUAGGAAAUAAAAAUUAAACCUGGUGUGAAGAAGUCUGUGACUUCGCCUGGAAGAAGGACGGCAAAUGAGUGGAGUGAGGCUGAUAAAUGCUUUGAUUCAGCGGUUAAUGAAGCAAGGAUCCAAGGGACUGGUAGGUCUUUGAAGAAGAGAAAACCUGAACAUAGAGUCUAAGAGGAAUCUAGGAGCUUCUGCUAUAAAAGAGCCCACUGGUUACAAAGUGAGUACUUUCAGCUCUAUUUAUUAGUGAAUAUUUUUGAGAAGACCCCCCCCCCCCCGUGCCUCAAUAACAUUAUUCCCGUGAGAGCUCCUCAUCCUGAUUCUAGUGCAGGUGUUUCCUAAAUCUCAUCAGCCCCCUUCUUCCAUUUUUAAAUCUGUGCUAUAGCCUAGGAUGCAUUCUGGAAGCUAGGUUACUAUUUUAAAGUCUUAUAUCCAUGACCAUGGUUAAGUAUAGAAGUGAUGUGGCCUACUCUGACUUACGUGGAUUACUCUUCUACUUCUAAUUUUGAAUUAGGGUUGAAGGUUCUUCAGUCUGAGAAGAGCUGAAAGGUGGGGAGAGUGAACUCUUUUGAUUCCUGGUUCAAGUUCUUUAUAAGCAACAUCCUUUCAGAUUUAUGCUAUGUUGUACUGAAAAAAAAUUAACUGAGGAUUCCUAUAUGGUUUCCUCUUCCAUGGCAUUCUGCUCUUCUGAUGCUUAAAUGAGCAGGUUUUAGGCAAGCGAUUGUAUGUUGCUGAAUUUUAGGAGCCUUUUAGAAAGCACAGUUUCCAUGUCAGAAUCUAGUUUAAGUUUUUGGUAUAGGAUACACAGUCUUCUGGGGGAGAAAAAACACCAGGGUUGCAGCAGUGGCAUGACUGUUAAGAGAUGACCAAUUACUUUCUGAUUGAAUUUGGGGCUUGUUUCAAAGGACAGAAAACCUGGUCAAAGGCCCUGACUGGGGAGGUCAUGGGCCCUGACUGGGGAGGUCAUGGCCCCUGACUGGGGAGGUCAUGGGCCCUGACUGGGGAGGUCAUGGCCCUGACUAGGGAGGUCAUGGGCCCUGACUGGGGAGGUCAUGGGCCCUGACUAGGGAGGUCAUGGGUCCUGACUGGGGAGGUCAUGGGCCCUGACUGGGGAGGUCAUGGGCCCUGACUGGGGACAUGCUGCUGUUGUUUUGUUAUAUGAUCAUGUUGUCAAACUUCCAUCUACAUACUUUUGUGUACAUAGUCCUGUGCUGCUCUUGACUUUGGUUAGAGAAGUGUCUUUUUGCUGGAGCCAGUGGUUAAUGCAGAGAUUUAUAACUGGUCAAAAUGUUAAGAAUAAAUGACCUUGAGUAUUCAGUACCAAACAGGACAGUUGUAUCAUAUCCACGGGGCUCAUAGAACAGUGCAGAAGAGGGAGCAAGAAACAAUGUAGAAACCAGAGGUUAGGGAGAAGAGCUGUGAAAUGUCUUUUGGACAUGACAUGGCCAUUGCAUUCCCAAACCAGCAUCAGCUGUGGCUGCCUGCAUGAGACCUGAACAAGACUGAUCUAACCAAAUUUCCAGUAUGUAUUGGUUAGGGGCUUAUGAGACUCUGUUCUUAUAUAAGGAGCUAUCGGCAGUUGAUAACUUCUGGUGGAGGCAGAAUCAUUUUUGGGCUGUGUGGCCACUGGUAGAUUAACCAUAAUCUAGUGAAUGGUCCCACAUAUCACACCUAUAUGUAUACUUGUGAAUAUUGACAGUACUAAUUAGACUCAGUGACUCUCUCUCUCUCUCUCUCUCUGUCUCUCUCUCUCUCGUAUAAAGAGAACAUGAAGUUAAGAGAGUGGCAUUUUGAAUGGGAAAGUUAGUGGGGAGUUGAAGGGGAAAAGUGGGGUAUAUAUAAUCAAAAUACACUGUAUACAUAUGAAAAAUUAAAAGUGCCACAAAAACCAGAAAAUCUCAUAUAAAUGAUCUUGUUGGGUUUAAAAUCUCUCUGCGAAAAAUUUUCAGUGCCAAAUUUUUGCCUAGCACCCCUUGUCAUGAGACGAUCUCCUCCCAUUCUUCAAAAGCAUGUGAAACAUAAAAGGUGUUAUGGGAAAAGUAUGACUUAGGGCACACCACUCCAAAUUAAAUCAGUUUCAAAACCACUGAGUAUCUUAGUAUAAAAAUUAGAAAUAAAUUAAGUUACAGUGCACUAAAUACUGAGUCUUAACUUCAAAAGAAAGCUUAACUUAAAAAUCCCCUCCUUAGUAGAAAGUUGUGAUAACACACGGAGAUAAGACAAGUGCAUCAACACGAAGCGGGCUGGGAUGUAUCCCAGCAGUAAAGCCUAGUGUAAGGAAGACCCCAGGUCCUGAGUACCACUAAAGCAAAGCAAACCAAAAUCACACGAAGAUGACAAAGGAUAGCACAGCAGAUCCUUCUAAGAUGGAGCAUGUGGCCAUAUGGGAUGAGAGGAAGAGAUAUUUAACGUCAAUUCCAACAACGUGCCGGAUUCCGCCUUGUUGUGUACUCUGGUUAACUGAUGGUACUUGGUGGCAGAGUACAUACUCAGUGGUCAAAAGAAACAAGGAUACUGUUUCUGCAUUGCCCUGGUAUUGUGUUCCUUACCAAUCCCAACUAAAGUAGCUCAUGUUUCAGAAAGCAAGCUCUGUAUCCGAACUGACUCUACUAACAGACAGCGGCGGUGCUGGAAUUUAUGUCAAGUGGGGAUUCUGCUAGAAGUCUGAUUAUUGAUGCCAUGUUUGAAUAGUAAAGACAUUUUAUUUGUUUAGUUUUGAUUUAAAUUGAAUCAUCCCUUCUGAAGCAGGUUCUGGCUUUGUCAGUUACAUUAAGAUAAUAAUAUGGCAGAAGGAGAUAUUGCUCAGAGGUGACCUGAAUCAUUCAGAAGCUGAUGAGGUGAUUUCUUACAGAUAUAUUUGGCCAUGCAGAACUAAGGUGAAGAUUGAUCAACAGCAGAUUCAAUUCAGAAAUCUGCUUAGGGAGAUUAUCAAGAUGUAACAAUUGCGAGAGUCUGGGAGAAAACUUUCCCAGGCGUGUUUCUCUGGCCUGAACAAUUUUUCAGUAGAGGGCUGCAGCAACGGCCUCUGGGUCCAGAACCAAUCACCCCUUCUCUAAACAUGCCGCCGAGACUGUGCCACAGGAUGAGAGACCUCAGGGGCGUCAGAAACAAUGGCUCAAAGGGACAGCUGGGAAUCAAGAGCUUUUGAUUAUGCAGAAAGAAGAAAGACACACCAGGUGCAGAAAGAAUGCUGUGACAAUCUUAUGUGCUCCAAUCAAUUCUUAGAACUUUUUAAAGGUAGGGCUUAUUCAACUCCAUUAGACUUGAAGAAGCCACGCCUCCCUUUGUGAACAAGGUCAAGUCUUGGAUGCGGAAGUAAUCUGGACUCACUAUGACAAUGUAAUACAACUCCCUGGUUGAGAUAGGUAGAAUUAGAACAGAAGGGGAUAAAUUCAUAGUAUAUUAUUUUUAAACUCACAAGGGCAAGGACAUCUGAUUUUAAACUUUAAUUCAUUUGCAUUUUACUUACAAGGGAGUUUAAUAUUUGUAUUUUAAUUUCAUUUUAGAAAUGUAAUAAUGAAAAGCUAGAGUUGGGGCAUCUAUAUAUUGUUCCACAUUGGUUAUUGAUGUCGUUUGGUUUCAAUGCAGAAAUUUGAUGGGGCAACAUUGGGAAAUAUGACUCAGGUGAAUUUGGAUUGAGAAUAGAUUAGGGAGUGAAUUUUAGAUUUAGUUCUGGCAUCGUUUGACAGUUAAUUGAUGUAUCAGGACAAUCUUUGCACUGACUUUCAACAUUCAUGGAAGAUUCCUGGACCUUGAGAGUUUGUUUGGAGGAUCUUACAGAAGAGUUCAGCUUCUUGUAGACCCUUGAAUGAAGAAUGAUCCUCUCUUGGAGGAGAAGGUCAUCGUUUUUGAUGGUGAGCAGCUCAGCUGCAGGAGGAAUGUGCAAGGAGCAAUGAGGAAGGAAGAAGACGCUGGCCUAGUCUGCAGGACCAGCCUGGGUGAUGGGCGGUGUGACAUGUAUAACCAGGUCAUUGUCAUACCUGUUGUUGGAGAAUUCAUUUAUCAAGGUACACUGCUGAUUGCCAUCUUUGAUGAUUCUGGAAUCAUUGUUCAGGAAUGAUGGACACAAAGAACAAAAGUAGACCUGUUUUAGGUGAGCUGUUUACACCCUCUUCCUGUAUGGGACAAAUCCGAGUGAAAGAGAGGUUCCUGGCCAUGACUCUUUACACGAAUUCUUCCUGAUCGGGUGGCCACUUCUUAACUCUGGCACAACACUGGGGAGAGUAGUCAGCAGGCCACUGGAAAGUGUGACUCCCUAUUGAUAACUUUAUGAUAAAAAACUCAGUGUCCCUUUUUCUCUUUCUCUUUUGUUGGUGUGUGUGUGUGUUAAGGAUCUUGUUCUAGCCUGCUGAUAGCAUAUUUUUGGAUCUGCUCUUGGUCACAAGAUGACCUUGGCAGUGAAUCUCUACACCCGUGACACGGCACCUGUCUGGCUCGGCAUGACCUGGGGUGGGUGACUAAAUCUGUCUGUAUCUGGGGACCAGUGCUAAGCUUUUUUUCCCCCCUAACCUAGUCUCUUUAAGCUUUAAAAUCAGUAUUUUCAACUCCAUGGUUCUGACUUUUCUUACUGGUUCAACUCAAAGAACAAGGAGAAAGCAUUCUGGAAAGGCUCACAAACCCCAGUGUCCAUGGUUCCCCUCUUGAGUGCCUGGGAAUUUGUAUGAACUUACAGUAUUCUAACACUGUCUUAAAAUACUACUGUUUUAAAAGAACUGUAUUUUUUAUUUUGAAAAAUGGUCCUGUCAAGAAUUAGAAAUUUAUAGCACAUAUGCCUAAAUAUAUUUUAAAACAAUGCUCACAUAAUUAAAAAAAAAUAGUCUUCUCUCCUGUCCCAGAUACAAGUAUGAUCAUGAAAUUUCACUGCCUUUUAUACAUGUGUUUUUUGGAGGCUGUAACAUCUUUUCUUUACAUGUUUUGGAAUAAUUUUAUGGAUUUAUAAAUAUGUUGAAAACACAACACAAAGAAUUCCUCGGUGUCCUUCAUCCAGUAUUAACGUCUCAUGUGGUCAUGGUCAUUUGUCAGAACUGAGAACAGCAUUGGUGGGCACGAGUAACUAAACUCCAGGCUCUUCUCGCAUCGCUGCCGGUUUUAUAUCAACGUUCGUUUCCUGUUUAAGAAUUCAGCCCGGGACACUGCAGCACAUUUAGUCUCUGUGUCUUUUUAGUCUCCUUUGGCCUGUGACAGCGUCUCAUUCUUUCGCUGUUUUUCAUGACCUUGACAAUAGUGAGAAGUCCUGGUUGGAUAUUUUACAGAAAGUCUCAAUUUGGAUUUGUCUGAGGGAUUUCUCCUUUGCGGACUGAUGCUAUGGGUGUUUGAGAUGAAUUAUUCACUGUUUUUAAUACUUAAAAACACAACAGAUAAAUAUAUUUACAUAUGCUACCCAAUAUUGUUUUGAAUUUUAAAAGUAUGAGAUACCAUAUUUGCAGUUUUUUUGAGAGCUCGCUUUUUAUCUCGGAAAUUGUUUUUGGGCACUGCCUGUUUAAAAACACAUUUCUUUUGCUAUAGUGUAACAUAUGCAUUCCUGAAGAAUCUUCAUGCUCUGCAUGAUUUGUGCACUAAAAAUAACAGGGACUGUAAGAUAAUUAGGCCCGUAGAUAAUUAGAGGCAGACCAUUCAAAACCUAUGCAGUAACAUAGCAAGAGGACUAACAUGAACAGUAACAAUCCAUGCCAUUAUCAGCACAGCGAAGCCUUCUCCCACACUUCCACCAGCCUCACAAUUAGUCCCGCUUUUAUAGCCUUCAGUCCAGAGGCCCCAAUGACCUUUGAGAUACGUUUCUGCGAGGGCGAUCAUUUUCAGCAGGGACUGGACUCAUGGAAACUUAAAAUCUCAUUUGGAGUGUAGCUUCUCCAGUCAUCAAUAAAAUUCUGUGUUGCAUAGAAAUUCUUGGCCGUGUCUUCAUCAGCUCUUGCCGCAUCACAAUAUACUUUAGUACUGUGGAAUGCAUAGUGAUGUUUGAAGCCACUAUAAACCAUCUCCUGCAUGUACUCACAGUGCUGAGACAGGAUUCUCAGCAUCUUCAUUAAGAUCGUCACACUUUACAAGGAAUUUUUCUUUGCUUGUGAGAAAAAUGUAGUCUUUAUUGCUUCACCAUUAACCUGCUGGGGAAGAUGACUUAUGAAUGAGUAUAACCUCUAUGUUAUAUUGACACUAUUCUUAAUUUACGUAAAGCAUCAAUUUACAUAUUGAAAUGAGGGACGGCCUAAUUUGCAUCCAGACAUUUGAUUUGUGACUGAACAGGAUGUGUACAGAUCUUCUUCUUGCCUUUUAACCGAGGCAAACAAUUCUAUCAUAUGGAAAAAGCAUUUCUCACAUGGAAACUAGCAUUCCUUCAUUUUUUUUUUGCCCCUGAAAACAAACAGUGUUGCAAAGAGUUUUCCUGUGCAUGUCAUUGAGGGAGUUUUCCAGAGGUUAUGUUGAUAUAGGUAAGAUAGUUGGGCUGUAGGAUAUGGGCAUUAUUAAUGCAACAUAUGUAUCAAAUUGGAGAGUGACAAUGCCAUCGUGAUAUUAGAGCAUUCAGUGAAUGUGGUUACAGUCCCAUUCGUUAAUUUUAUAUUCUUAGCUGCUUUAUGCUUUAAGUAAAAAUGUUGCCCAUUUUCUGUUUGACCUCUCUCUAUGUGCUCUUUAGGUUUUAGUAAUGCCGUGGCUCGCAUCUUAUAUGUUAUAUAUCCUAACUGAUUACUUCUAGGGGGAAAAGAACAUUUUAAAUGUGUUUUAUGGUUAUUUUAUAUCAAUACAAAUAUUAA
Molecule: non-coding RNA, 7990 nt
Organism: Myodes glareolus (Bank vole)
Lineage: Eukaryota; Metazoa; Chordata; Mammalia; Rodentia; Cricetidae
Source: RefSeq, a predicted model, not a curated record